This 253-nucleotide ribosomal RNA is filed under the name uncultured bacterium. RNAcentral's name for it is "partial 16S ribosomal RNA". It matches the Rfam family "Bacterial small subunit ribosomal RNA", at positions 524 to 776 of the family's 1533-position model. The record is from RNAcentral.
UACAGAGGUCUCAAGCGUUGUUCGGAAUCACUGGGCGUAAAGGGUGCGUAGGUGGCGUGGUAAGUCAGAUGUGAAAGCCCGGGGCUCAACCUCGGAAUUGCAUCCGAUACUGCCAUGCUGGAGUACUGAAGAGGUGACUAGAAUUCUCGGUGUAGCAGUGAAAUGCGUAGAUAUCGAGAGGAAUACCAACGGCGAAGGCAGGUCACUGGGCAGUUACUGACACUGAGGCACGAAGGCCAGGGGAGCAAACGGG